Molecule: long non-coding RNA, 344 nt
Organism: Saccostrea cuccullata (small rock oyster)
Lineage: Eukaryota; Metazoa; Mollusca; Bivalvia; Ostreida; Ostreidae
Exons: 2
Source: RefSeq, a predicted model, not a curated record
AUUGAUUGUAAUUUGCACGCUGUCAGAUUCACAAAAUGUUGCGAUUACCAUCAAAAGUUGAUCCAGAAGAACAAAAGAAAAUAGCUAGAACAGGAUGUAUACAGAGUUUUUGCAUAUUUGCCGUCACAUGUGCCGUCAUUCGAUCUUUGCCGUACAUAAUGAAGCAAAUUAAUUCUUAAUACAUGGAGAUAACUGACCAGUGAUACAAGACUGCAGUUUGACAAUUUAUAUCUAGAAAUGGAGAGACCAGACCAGACAUUGCUUAACAAAAUAAAAAAAAAAAAAAAUAGAGAUGUUUUAUUAUUAUAAGCAAAGCUGCUAUUAUUAAAUGGAUUCAGUCUCAA